GUUAUUGUUAUUUUUUUAUAUUUCCAGAACAAGUAAAAGUAAUAGGUUACUUCUAGUUCUACUGAUGACCCAGUAGAUUCCAAUAUAUAUCCCAGUAUAUUCGAUGAUGGCUAAUAGCUGCAUUAUCCAUCACAAGGAAAUACAAGUUCAUAAUUCAGACUUUUAUGCUCAGCAUGGAGCCCACUGUGGGGCUAGAACUCACGACCCUGAAAUCAAAACCUGACCUGAGAUCAAGAUCCUGACACUCAACCAACCAACUGAGCUACUCAGGCACCCCAUGUGCUUAUGCUCUUGAAAAGACAGUAUAACAUCUUUUAUCUUCAAUUUCCUUGUGUAUAAAAAAAAGAGGAUAAAAAUUUCAUAGAGCUCAA
Long non-coding RNA from Canis lupus familiaris (dog), 371 nucleotides. RefSeq lists it as uncharacterized. NCBI's taxonomy places the organism in Eukaryota, Metazoa, Chordata, Mammalia, Carnivora, Canidae. The transcript has 2 exons. The record is from RefSeq and is a predicted model, not a curated record.